GUGCGGACUCUCUGUCGACGCGCUCUCCAUUCUCGCUCCUGGAAUAGCGCUUUGUCGCGUCUACUGCACAAAAAAUUAUAAAGACGAAGUAUCAGAAGAUAAGAGCAGCAAAUCUGGCACUCGGUCGCCGUCUUUAUCAGUAAAAGAAAGCCGCUUUAGCGCGAUGAAGAGUAAUAUCCAGUGAGAGAUGGUGGUGGCCUCCCUGCAUCAGCUGUGAGGUGAGACACCGACACCUGCUCAACCUUCCUCAACCCUCCUAGACCCUCCUCUCACACCUUCCUCAACCCUCCUAGACCCUCCUCCCACACCUUCCUCAACCCUCCUAGACCCUCCUCACACACCUUCCUAGACCUCCCUCCCUCCAACAAGCUGAGACAGGCUCCUGAGGAAGGUGAUCCAGCAAUCAUGCAGGUGCCUAUUAGUGCCCAUUGUAGUGCCACCUUGAGAACACACAAUUCGUACCAAUUAUAAUGGGGGAUUUGCAUGGAACUUACACACCUUGCUGAACGGAUGCCUAUCUGCAAGGGUGCCAAUUAUGAACGAAAUUGGUCGACGUCAAGCUCGGCUACAGGUGGCUAUAACUUUGAUCAUAUUUUACUCAGGGUGUGAUGCUGAAACUUGGACCAGUUGCAGCCCUUUCUAUAACCAUUCCAUGAUUAAAUU
Long non-coding RNA from Procambarus clarkii (red swamp crayfish), 663 nucleotides. RefSeq lists it as uncharacterized. Lineage: Eukaryota; Metazoa; Arthropoda; Malacostraca; Decapoda; Cambaridae. The record is from RefSeq and is a predicted model, not a curated record.